Molecule: long non-coding RNA, 101 nt
Organism: Lynx canadensis (Canada lynx)
Lineage: Eukaryota; Metazoa; Chordata; Mammalia; Carnivora; Felidae
Exons: 3
Source: RefSeq, a predicted model, not a curated record
CUCUCUUUUUGCCACUGCCUCGGUCAGUCAUGAUUUCAAUCACUUCAAUUUUCCCAUACUGUUCAAAAUAAUCUCUUACAUGAUAGAUCUGAAGAGCAAAC